UGGGGGAUAUUGCACAAUGGGCGCAAGCCUGAUGCAGCGACGCCGCGUGGGGGAUGAAGGCCUUCGGGUUGUAAACUUCUUUUGCUCUGAACAAGGCGCACUUUGGGGUGUGUUGAGUGUAGGGGUUGAUUAGCGCCGGCUAACUACGUGCCAGCAGCCGCGGUAAUACGUAGGGCGCGAGCGUUGUCUGGAAUUAUUGGGCGUAAAGGGCUUGUAGGUGGCUGGUUGCGUCUGUCGUGAAAGCUCAUGGCUUAACUGUGGGUUUGCGGUGGGUACGGGCUGGCUUGAGUGCAGUAGGGGAGGCUGGAAUUCCUGGUGUAGCGGUGGAAUGCGCAGAUAUCAGGAGGAAUACCGGUGGCGAAGGCGGGUCUCUGGGCUGUUACUGACACUGAGGAGCGAAAGCAUGGGGAGCGAACAGG
Molecule: ribosomal RNA, 419 nt
Filed under: bacterium
Lineage: Bacteria
Description: partial 16S ribosomal RNA
Rfam family: Bacterial small subunit ribosomal RNA
Source: RNAcentral